ACAGUUCGCCCCCGAACCGGUGCUUCGGCGCGCCCUGCGCGCCGAAGUUAAACGGGAAACAGGAAGGCGUCCCACGCCCAGCCUGUGCUGCCCCCGCAACGGUCCCCAUGCCGCGCCUCGCGCCGCAUGGCAGCCCGAUACCGGCCGGUUCGCCCACCGGGGA
Molecule: non-coding RNA, 163 nt
Filed under: Bordetella petrii
Lineage: Bacteria; Pseudomonadati; Pseudomonadota; Betaproteobacteria; Burkholderiales; Alcaligenaceae
Source: RNAcentral